GACGAACGCUGGCGGCGUGCUUAACACAUGCAAGUCGAACGGAGCGAAUGAAAGCUUGCUUUUAUGAGCUUAGUGGCAAACGGGUGAGUAACACGUAGACAACCUGCCGACAGGAUGGGGACAACAUUCCGAAAGGAAUGCUAAUACCGAAUGAAGCGGAGGAGAGGCAUCUCUCUUCCGUGAAAGAUGGCCUCUUUUUAUGCUAUCACCUGUUGAUGGGUCUGCGUCUGAUUAGCUGGUUGGUGAGGUAACGGCUCACCAAGGCGACGAUCAGUAGCCGGUCUGAGAGGAUGAACGGCCACAUUGGGACUGAGACACGGCCCAGACUCCUACGGGAGGCAGCAGUGGGGAAUCUUCCGCAAUGGGCGCAAGCCUGACGGAGCAACGCCGCGUGAGUGAAGAAGGUCUUCGGAUCGUAAAGCUCUGUUGACGGGGACGAACGUGCGGAGUGCGAAUAGCGCUUUGUAAG
Molecule: ribosomal RNA, 469 nt
Filed under: Centipeda dianae
Lineage: Bacteria; Bacillati; Bacillota; Negativicutes; Selenomonadales; Selenomonadaceae
Description: bacterial SSU rRNA
Rfam family: Bacterial small subunit ribosomal RNA
Source: RNAcentral